Molecule: ribosomal RNA, 801 nt
Filed under: uncultured bacterium
Lineage: Bacteria
Description: bacterial SSU rRNA
Rfam family: Bacterial small subunit ribosomal RNA
Source: RNAcentral
AGAGUUUGAUCCUGGCUCAGGACGAACGCUGACGGUGUGCUUUAGGCAUGCAAGUCGAACGAGAAAGCCCUUCGGGGUGAGUAAAGUGGCGAACGGGUGAGUAACACGUGGGCAACCUGCCCCUCGCAGGGGGACAACCGGAGGAAACUCCGGCUAAUACCCCGUACGCUUGUUGGAUCGCAUGGUCCGGCAAGGAAAGGUAGCUUCGGCCAUCCGGCGAGGGAUGGGCCCGCGUUGCAUUAGCUAGUUGGUGGGGUAACGGCCCACCAAGGCGACGAUGCGUAGCUGGUCUGAGAGGAUGAUCAGCCACACUGGGACUGAGACACGGCCCAGACUCCUACGGGAGGCAGCAGCCAGGAAUCUUGGGCAAUGGGCGAAAGCCUGACCCAGCAACACCGUGUGGGCGACGAAGGCCUUAGGGUCGUAAAGCCCUGUUGAUAGGGACGAAGGGCGAAGGGUUAAUAGCCCCUAGCUUGACGGUACCUUUCGAGGAAGCCCCGGCUAACUACGUGCCAGCAGCCGCGGUAAUACGUAGGGGGCGAGCGUUGUCCGGAAUUAUUGGGCGUAAAGAGCGUGUAGGCGGUUCGGUAAGUCUGCUGUGAAAUCCUGGGGCUCAACCCUGGGCGUGCAGCGGAUACUGCCGGGCUAGAGGGUGGUAGAGGCGAGUGGAAUUCCGAGUGUAGCGGUGAAAUGCGCAGAUAUUCGGAGGAACACCAGUAGCGAAGGCGGCUCGCUGGGCCACACCUGACGCUGAGACGCGAAAGCGUGGGGAGCGAACAGGAUUAGAUACCCUAGUAGUCC